This 253-nucleotide ribosomal RNA is filed under the name uncultured bacterium. RNAcentral describes it as "partial 16S ribosomal RNA". It matches the Rfam family "Bacterial small subunit ribosomal RNA", at positions 524 to 776 of the family's 1533-position model. The record is from RNAcentral.
UACAGAGGGUGCAAGCGUUAAUCGGAAUUACUGGGCGUAAAGGGCGCGUAGGCGGCACUGUUAGUCAGGCGUGAAAGUCCUGGGCUCAACCUGGGAACUGCGCUUGAUACGGCAGAGCUAGAGGAUGGAAGAGGGUCGCGGAAUUCCCAGUGUAGAGGUGAAAUUCGUAGAUAUUGGGAAGAACACCGGUGGCGAAGGCGGCGACCUGGUCCAUUACUGACGCUGAGGCGCGACAGCGUGGGGAGCAAACAGG